UGUAGGCCAUAUGGGUUGGUUGUCCUCUUAACCAAGAAGUGUGGAGACACUAGUAUAGUAUACAGGUGAGAUGUAAGGAUACAUCAUCAUUUGACGUGACCAACUCCAGAGCAUUCUGCUGUCGAGAAUGUCUCUGAUGGGAUAUAGGUAUAAAUGUCUCUUAGAUCUGAGAUCGCCUCAGUGACUUGCAAGCAACUCACUAUGCUUUGGUACUGGACUAAUAGAAUUUCUAAUUCAGUGACGAAAGGAUUCUGG
RNAcentral lists this long non-coding RNA (255 nucleotides) under Elaeis guineensis (African oil palm). RNAcentral's name for it is "long non-coding RNA (EGUI_LNC068429)". Lineage: Eukaryota; Viridiplantae; Streptophyta; Magnoliopsida; Arecales; Arecaceae. The record is from RNAcentral.